RNAcentral lists this ribosomal RNA (798 nucleotides) under uncultured KB1 group bacterium. RNAcentral describes it as "bacterial SSU rRNA". It matches the Rfam family "Bacterial small subunit ribosomal RNA", at positions 549 to 1335 of the family's 1533-position model. Lineage: Bacteria; Candidatus Calescibacteriota. The record is from RNAcentral.
AAUUACUGGGCGUAAAGGGUGUGUAGGCGGCAAUCAAGUCAACGUGUGAAAUCCCUUGGCUAAACUGAGGGAUGUACGUGGAAACUGAUUGGUUCGAGGAACGUAGAGGAAGGCGGAUCUCUCGGAGUAGCGGUGAAAUGCGUAGAGACCGAGAGGUACCCCGAUGGUGAAGACAGCUUUCUGGGCGUUUCCUGACGCUGAAGCGCUAAGGCCAGGGGAGCGAAGGGGAUUAGAUACCCCCGUAGUCCUGGCUUCAAACGAUGUGGGCUUGGUGUCGGCUCCCGAUAGAGAGUCGUUGCCGGAGUUAACGCGUUAAGCCCACCGCCUGGGGAUUACGUCCGCAAGGAUGAAACUCAAGGGAAUUGACGGGGGCCCACACAACCGGUGGAGCACGUGGUUUAAUUUGAUGAUAAGCGAAGAACCUUACCAGGGCUUGACCUAGCGGUAGUAGGACUCUGAAAGGGGAACGACCUCAAGCUUUGCUUGAGGAGCCGUGGCAGGUAUUGCAUGGCUGUCGUCAGCUCGUGUCGUGGGACGUUGGGUUAAGUCCCGUAACGAGCGCAACCCCUGCCCUUAAUUGCCAGCGGGUAAUGCCGGGGACUAUAAGGGGACUGCCGGAGAAUAUCCGGAGGAAGGAGGGGAUGACGUCAAGUCAUUAUGAUCCUUAUGCUGUGGGCGACACACGUGCUACAAUGGGCACUACAAUGAGGAGCAAAUCCGCAAGGACGAGCAAAUCUCAAAAAGGUGCCCCCAGUGCGGAUUGGGGUCUGCAACCCGUCCCCAUGAAGAUGGAAUCGG